Molecule: ribosomal RNA, 440 nt
Filed under: uncultured bacterium
Lineage: Bacteria
Description: partial 16S ribosomal RNA
Rfam family: Bacterial small subunit ribosomal RNA
Source: RNAcentral
CCUACGGGGGGCUGCAGUGAGGAAUAUUGGGCAAUGGAGGCAACUCUGACCCAGCCAUGCCGCGUGAGUGAAGAAGGUAUUCGGAUUCUAAAGCUCUUUCGGAUGUGACGAUGAUAACGGUAGCAUCUAAAGAAGCCCCGGCUAACUUCGUGCCAGCAGCCGAGGUAAUACGAAGGGGGCAAGCGUUGUUCGGAGUGACUGGGCGUAAAGGGGGUGUAGGCGGUUUAGUAAGAUAGUGGUGAAAUCCCAGAGCUUAACUUUGGAAUCGCCAUUAUAACUAUUAGACUAGAGUUACAGAGAGGAUAGUGGAAUACGCAGUGUAGAGGUGAAAUUCGUAGAUAUUGGGUAGAACACCAGUGGCGAAGGCGACUAUCUGGCUGUACAUUGACGCUGAGGCUCGAAAGCAUGGGGAUCAAACAGGAUUAGAUACCCGGGUAGUC